GAUGAGAAGAUUCUUGAAGAACACUUCAUAGGUUUUGUUGUUAAAGGAACAACUAAAAUCCUACUAUGAUUUUAAAUUCAUUGUGGAAUAAUCUGUUCUAUCAUAAGAUGGAUCCACCAUAUUGCUUCAUCCAAUAGUAUUGCAAGUGUCCAUUUGUCGUAGCUGAUCUUUACCAUCUUUUCUUAAGGAUUAGGUACUAGUUGAUCUUUGCCAUUUUUUGUUAAUGAUUACAUAGUGACGUUAAAGUCUAGAAAAGUCAAAAGGAUCUUGAGGCAAAAUUUUUGCAACAUAAGACUUUGAUCUGUUGUCGAUAUUAGUUGGUAUUUUGCUUUAAGAUUUAGUUAUAUUAAAAAUUUUGGGUUCUUGGACCGCUUAGCUUCAGAUCCAAGUGUUUGUUUGAGCUUUUUAUACUAUUGAUUCAAGUGCCGAGCUUGUUCAUUUGGACGAAAUUAUCAUCUGAAUAAUCUUUUAUGCAGGCUCUUACAUAAUUCCCAAUUUUUAUGACACCAUGGUGAUGCAAGAACACUUAGGAAUGGCCCAAAAUGCGAUGAUGGACCAAAAGGGCUAAGAUGGAUGCAGAAAACAUGAUAGAUAGAAAUUUAUUGAUUUAAAUUUAAUUAAAAGCUUGGAGAAUUUGUGUUUUAAACUUUAGAAAGGUAACACUUCUAGGGAAAAAGAAGGCCUUUAAAGUUUAGGGCAAUCAAAGAUCAUCCAUAAAAGAUUUAUAACAAAAAACUCAAAUUACAAGAUUAGUUCUUUCUUCUGCUGAACGUUUGAGGAAAGGAGUGCAGGAGGUCAGAACGUAAGUGGAAAAAUUAUAAUGUAAAGAUAGCAGAAAUUUGAUCAUUUAAUCAAAUAAUCUCAGCACAAAAUAGGAAAAUCUGAUAUCAGUUUCUUUGUUAACGCAAGAAACUAAGCAUAAUAAAAUUGUAUGUUGUGAAAAAUCCACUGCAGUUUAAUGGAAAAGGAAGAAAAAUAAGACAAGGGUAAGAUAUGAUAGAUUAGGUGAGGAAAGAAACUAGAGUGGAAGAAGUAGAGAGAAACAGAGCUGUAUGGACUAAAGGUAUCAAAACGUGGCCCAAGAGAUUUUUUUUCCUCAAUCAUUCAAACCAUUCAUAUACAUCAGUUCUCAUAUUCGCUCAAUGAAAACCAUCUGGCUACAAAUGUUCCCUAACUUUCAUCUUUUAUUCUUAAAAAAUUUACAACUUAGGAUUCAAUUAAAAUCUAAUGCAUAACUUGGAAACCAAGUAAUUUGACCGCAAGAUAUUAACCCAGAAUAGGACCCUUAGAGGCUUCGUCGGAAAAAAAGGAAAACCAAAAGUAGAAGGGCUUUAAUUGGUCUUCUAUCAGAACAAUGGUAAUCUGGCAUGAGUAGUGCCAU
Molecule: long non-coding RNA, 1381 nt
Filed under: Phoenix dactylifera (date palm)
Lineage: Eukaryota; Viridiplantae; Streptophyta; Magnoliopsida; Arecales; Arecaceae
Description: long non-coding RNA (PDAC_LNC013413)
Source: RNAcentral